CCGACAAAAGAGAGCGUCAAAAAGAAGAAGAAAAAAAAAAAGAAGCUAAAAGUCCAUGUCAAUUGCGACCGCAUGUUAUGACCAGAAACUGCGACUUCAUUUGGACGGUAGUAAGAAACGGGCGCUGGCAUGUGGCUGUUAGAAGCCCGGUAAAAAUGUGGGGAAAACAUGCAAGAAAAGGCAUUGGAGGCUUGGGAAAGGCCUAAAAGAAACUU
This 215-nucleotide long non-coding RNA is filed under the name Elaeis guineensis (African oil palm). Its description in RNAcentral is "long non-coding RNA (EGUI_LNC005958)". The record is from RNAcentral. Lineage: Eukaryota; Viridiplantae; Streptophyta; Magnoliopsida; Arecales; Arecaceae.